This 199-nucleotide ribosomal RNA is filed under the name uncultured bacterium. RNAcentral's name for it is "partial 16S ribosomal RNA". It matches the Rfam family "Bacterial small subunit ribosomal RNA", at positions 118 to 318 of the family's 1533-position model. The record is from RNAcentral.
UGAGCAAUCUGCCCUUCACAUCAGAAUAACCAUUGGAAACGAUGGCUAAUACCGAAUAUGACUUCGGAUCGCAUGAUCUGAAGUGGAAAGCUCCGGCGGUGAAGGAUGAGCUCGCGGCCUAUCAGCUUGUUGGUGAGGUAAUAGCUCACCAAGGCGAUGACGGGUAGCCGGCCUGAGAGGGUGACCGGCCACACUGGGA